Helianthus annuus (common sunflower) is the source of this 187-nucleotide long non-coding RNA. RefSeq lists it as uncharacterized. The transcript is spliced from 3 exons. The record is from RefSeq and is a predicted model, not a curated record. NCBI's taxonomy places the organism in Eukaryota, Viridiplantae, Streptophyta, Magnoliopsida, Asterales, Asteraceae.
UUAAUCAUCUAUUCCACAUUUAUCGCAGUUAAUGAUUUUGGUUGUUGUAUUUUUUUCAUGUGAUUCCUUACAUCCGUUAUAACAAUCUGAAUCCCACCAUUCGUCAAGCAACAGAGUUUUCUAUUUGAAAUUGAGGUUUUGUUUUGAUCAAAGUUGGGUUAUGCAGAUCCGACCAUAAAUCUUGAAG